GCACUCCUGUGGGGACUGUGCUCUUGAACCUGUGGGAUCUGUGCUAACCAGCCAGUUAGUGUUUGAGCUGAAGGGCAGCACCCCCGCUGGCGUUUGUAACACGGAACUGGAUGAAGAACUCACCCUUCUCUCUGUGGCCUGCGUCAGUUUCUGGGCGACCUCCUGCACUUCCUGCCCUAAGGAUUUCCUCCUAAACCACCAGAUUCUCUUUCUUCCUUGGAUGUCCUUGGCCCCAGUUCCACUCCCCACAACCUAGCUGGUGGGCUCUGGGUUCCUGCUCCACCACUGCCUUCUUUCCUACCAGAAAACAUCUUUAUGGAAUUAAAGCCAACCUCGGGCAUCCUCCCCCACUCAGUUAGGACCACAUUGUCUCAGAAUUAGGAUCUCCACUGGCUGCAGGGUCCCUCCACAUGGCUCUCUGGCUCUGGGGCCCCACACUGCUCCCUCCCCUCACUCCGCAGGCCCGUCACUAGUCCUGGACACUGCACUGUCCCUUGGGAUUUCCCUUCACACUGCUGUGCCUCUGUAAAUAAUCCUUUAAUUAAAUUCCCCUCAAACUACCCAA
Molecule: non-coding RNA, 565 nt
Organism: Vicugna pacos (alpaca)
Lineage: Eukaryota; Metazoa; Chordata; Mammalia; Artiodactyla; Camelidae
Source: RefSeq, a predicted model, not a curated record